GCAUAUCAAUAAGCGGAGGAAAAGAAACCAACAGGGAUUGCCUUAGUAACGGCGAGUGAAGCGGCAAAAGCUCAAAUUUGAAAUCUGGCACUUUCAGUGUCCGAGUUGUAAUUUGAAGAAGGUAACUCUGGAGUUGGCCCUUGUCUAUGUUCCUUGGAACAGGACGUCACAGAGGGUGAGAAUCCCGUGCGAUGGGGUGUCCAAUUCUAUGUAGAGUGCUUUCGAAGAGUCGAGUUGUUUGGGAAUGCAGCUCUAAGUGGGUGGUAAAUUCCAUCUAAAGCUAAAUAUUGGCGAGAGACCGAUAGCGAACAAGUACAGUGAUGGAAAGAUGAAAAGAACUUUGAAAAGAGAGUGAAAAAGUACGUGAAAUUGUUGAAAGGGAAGGGCUUGAGAUCAGACUCGGUAUUUUGCGAUCCUAUCCUUCGUGGAGAGGUUUCACUUGCAGCUUACCGGGCCAGCAUCGGUUUGGAUGGUAGGAUAAUGACAUUGGAAUGUGGCUUUUCGGAGUGUUAUAGCCUUUGUUGAUACUGCCUAUCUAGACCGAGGACUGCGUCUUUGACUAGGAUGCUGGCAUAAUGAUCUUAAGCCGCCCGUCUUG
This 598-nucleotide ribosomal RNA is filed under the name Kurtzmaniella natalensis. RNAcentral describes it as "eukaryotic LSU rRNA". It matches the Rfam family "Eukaryotic large subunit ribosomal RNA", at positions 38 to 656 of the family's 3401-position model. Lineage: Eukaryota; Fungi; Ascomycota; Pichiomycetes; Serinales; Debaryomycetaceae. The record is from RNAcentral.